GAUAACUCCGGGAAACCGGGGCUAAUACCGGAUGGUUGUUUGAACCGCAUGGUUCAAACAUAAAAGGUGGCUUCGGCUACCACUUACAGAUGGACCCCGCGGCGCAUUAGCUAGUUGGUGAGGUAACGGCUCACCAAGGCAACGAUGCGUAGCCGACCUGAGAGGGUGAUCGGCCACACUGGGACUGAGACACGGGCCCAGACUYCUACGGGGAGGCAGCAGUAGGGAAUCUUCCGCAAUGGACGAAAGUCUGACGGAGCAACGCCGCGUGAGUGAUGAAGGUUUUCGGAUCGUAAAGCUCUGUUGUUAGGGAAGAACAAGUACCGGUUCGAAUAGGGCGGUACCUUGACGGUACCUAACCAAGAAAGCCACGGCUAACUACGUGCCAGCAGCCGCGGUAAUACGUAGGUGGCAAGCGUUGUCCGGAAUUAUUGGGCGUAAAGGGCUCGCAGGCGGUUUCUUAAGUCUGAUGUGAAAGCCCCCGGCUCAACCGGGGAGGGUCAUUGGAAACUGGGGAACUUGAGUGCAGAAGAGGAGAGUGGAAUUCCACGUGUAGCGGUGAAAUGCGUAGAGAUGUGGAGGAACACCAGUGGCGAAGGCGACUCUCUGGUCUGUAACUGACGCUGAGGAGCGAAAGCGUGGGGAGCGAACAGGAUUAGAUACCCUGGUAGUCCACGCCGUAAACGAUGAGUGCUAAGUGUUAGGGGGUUUCCGCCCCUUAGUGCUGCAGCUAACGCAUUAAGCACUCCGCCUGGGGAGUCAGCAGGGGUCGCAAGACUGAAACUCAAAGGAAUUGACGGGGGCCCGCACAACGCCGGUGGAGCAUGUGGUUUAUUCGAAGCAACGCGAAGAACCUUACCAGGUCUUGACAUCCUCUGACAAUCCUAGAGAUAGGACGUCCCCUUCGGGGGCAGAGUGACAGGUGGUGCAUGGUUGUCGUCAGCUCGUGUCGUGAGAUGUUGGGUUAAGUCCCGCAACGAGCGCAACCCUUGAUCUUAGUUGCCAGCAUUCAGUUGGGCACUCUAAGGUGACUGCCGGUGACAAACCGGAGGAAGGUGGGGAUGACGUCAAAUCAUCAUGCCCCUUAUUGACCUGGGCUACACACGUGCUACAAUGGACAGAACAAAGGGCAGCGAAACCGCGAGGUUAAGCCAAUCCCACAAAUCUGUUCUCAGUUCGGAUCGCAGUCU
Molecule: ribosomal RNA, 1190 nt
Filed under: Bacillus subtilis
Lineage: Bacteria; Bacillati; Bacillota; Bacilli; Caryophanales; Bacillaceae
Description: bacterial SSU rRNA
Rfam family: Bacterial small subunit ribosomal RNA
Source: RNAcentral